UGGGGAAUAUUGCACAAUGGGCGCAAGCCUGAUGCAGCCAUGCCGCGUGUGUGAAGAAGGCCUUCGGGUUGUAAAGCACUUUCAGCGGGGAGGAAGGCGAUAAGGUUAAUAACCUUGUCGAUUGACGUUACCCGCAGAAGAAGCACCGGCUAACUCCGUGCCAGCAGCCGCGGUAAUACGGAGGGUGCAAGCGUUAAUCGGAAUUACUGGGCGUAAAGCGCACGCAGGCGGUCUGUCAAGUCGGAUGUGAAAUCCCCGGGCUUAACCUGGGAACUGCAUUCGAAACUGGCAGGCUAGAGUCGUGUAGAGGGGGGUAGAAUUCCAGGGGUAGCGGUGAAAUGCGUAGAGAUCUGGAGGAAUACCGGUGGCGAAGGCGGCCCCCUGGACAAAGACUGACGCGCAGGUACGAAAGCGUGGGGAGCAAACAGG
Molecule: ribosomal RNA, 429 nt
Filed under: Chloroflexota bacterium
Lineage: Bacteria; Bacillati; Chloroflexota
Description: Chloroflexi bacterium partial 16S ribosomal RNA
Rfam family: Bacterial small subunit ribosomal RNA
Source: RNAcentral